Molecule: non-coding RNA, 104 nt
Filed under: Homarus americanus (American lobster)
Lineage: Eukaryota; Metazoa; Arthropoda; Malacostraca; Decapoda; Nephropidae
Source: RNAcentral
GUGUUGUACGAAAGGAGAGAAGGUUAGCACUCCCCUUGAUAAGGACGGACAACACACAUAUGUCAAGGCACAGUCGCUCUGGCGGCACCUGACAAAUUUUUUGG